UACGUAGGUGGCAAGCGAUACUCGGAAUCACUGGGCGUAAAGCGCAGGUAGGCGGUUUGGUAAGUCUUUUGUGAAAGCUCCCGGCUCAACUGGGAGAGGUCAAGGGAAACUACCGGACUAGAGUGUGGUAGGGGAUACUGGAAUUCCUGGUGUAGCGGUGAAAUGCGUAGAUAUCAGGAGGAAUACCUAUGGCGAAAGCAGGUAUCUGGGCCAUCACUGACGCUGAGCUGCGAAAGCUAGGGGAGCAAACAGG
Molecule: ribosomal RNA, 253 nt
Filed under: uncultured bacterium
Lineage: Bacteria
Description: partial 16S ribosomal RNA
Rfam family: Bacterial small subunit ribosomal RNA
Source: RNAcentral